CACGUAGGGUGCGAGCGUUGUCCGGAAUUAUUGGGCGUAAAGAGCUCGUAGGCGGUGUGUCACGUCGGCCGUGAAAACUUGGGGCUUAACUCUGAGCGUGCGGUCGAUACGGGCAUCACUUGAGUUCGGCAGGGGAGACUGGAAUUCCUGGUGUAGCGGUGAAAUGCGCAGAUAUCAGGAGGAACACCGGUGGCGAAGGCGGGUCUCUGGGCCGAUACUGACGCUGAGGAGCGAAAGCGUGGGGAGCAAACAGG
Molecule: ribosomal RNA, 254 nt
Filed under: uncultured Pseudonocardia sp.
Lineage: Bacteria; Bacillati; Actinomycetota; Actinomycetes; Pseudonocardiales; Pseudonocardiaceae
Description: partial 16S ribosomal RNA
Rfam family: Bacterial small subunit ribosomal RNA
Source: RNAcentral